RNAcentral lists this small RNA (1319 nucleotides) under Cryptococcus neoformans H99. RNAcentral's name for it is "Cryptococcus neoformans var. grubii H99 hypothetical RNA". The record is from RNAcentral. Lineage: Eukaryota; Fungi; Basidiomycota; Tremellomycetes; Tremellales; Cryptococcaceae.
ACCAAACCUAAUGCUCUAUAAUCAGAAAUGCCCAAGACAUCUAAAGACUGACACUGUUUUCUUCAAAAGAGUCAACAAUGGAAUCCCCGUCAAAUCUUCAACAACAGCAUCCCCCCGUCUCUUCCUAAUACAUUGUUGCAAGCCCGGAUAUCUCAUACACGCAAUUUGGGCACCGGGCUGACCUAGGACUGUAGGUCUGCAAAGUUUUGGUCAAUCCCCCAAUACAGCCUUUUGCACUUUGACGCACGACGAGCAAUGAGGUGAAGACUAGAGGAAAACGGCACAAUGAAUUUAACCCUUCCAGUCUUGACAUCAUCGCAGCUUCAGAUCAUAGCCUAGUUGGGUUUAGAUUCAGACGCUUAUUAUUCGACCAUAAAGGUCCCCAGUCCAUGAAACACAAACGAAGAGACAACAAUGACGAAUGGUUCCAGCGCUGUAUGUAUGGGGUGCCUGAGGAUCAACAACUAUGCAUCAGGCAAAGGGGAAUGAACCUAUUUUCGAGCAGGAGUGCUUUGGCAAAGCCUUUUUCAAGUCUUAAUCGCCGGCGCCGCAAACGUAACAUGGAAACAUGAACAGAAGACCAUUUAGAAUAUAUAUAUGACUGCUCAUUCAUGACAACAAUCCUUUCCAUACGCACGGGACCGAAGGGUAUGGUGCAGCUUUCGGGAUGGUGUCUUUUUUUGGUUUGUGGGGGGGGAUAACAGACGGACAAGAGAGCAUAAGAGUCAAUGGAGAAGUCUAUGUAAGAGUCUCCCGGUUUAGCGCGAUCAGGGUGUCCCUCGUGUCUCAUACGAAGCAUUUCGUAAUCGAAUGGGUCCCUAGAAGCAGGCGUCUUGCGGCUGCUGGCGACAAGCACAAGGGGACCCAUGGGUAUGACUUCGAGAUGGAGUGCUUGAGUGGGGAGAAUAUUGGGAUCCGCUAUGGCCUUAUUAGGAACGGGCAAAGGUAUAGUGCUAACAGCUGAUGAACUUACGCCCAUACAUAACCCAGUCUUCCAAUUCCAGACACCCACAAACGCUGUAUUCUUGCGCUGCUCAUCGGCCAUUGCGACGGAAAACAGACCCUCAGGGGUAAUUGAGAAUGUACCAUAGCAUUCGUGGUUAUUGAGGAUUUGAAUCUCGAUGAACGGGAGGGCGCCUUCGGGAUGGGGAACAAGUUUGCAGAUGCCGUUCCAUGGAGGGUUAGUACCACGAGGAGGGAUGAGUUGGUAAAAGUAAGCUCUAAAAUAAGUUGAAGCAGUUGAUUUUUCAGUCCCCUUUGUGUACUAGAGGCCCUCUUCCCUACAUAAUUGGUCAACUCUGUCCAUGCAUGAAUUGAAU